UAUAGAUGUUAGUGUACUGCAAGGGGGGUGUUCGAAGAACACAAGAAGGGACUGGAAUUAUAAGUAAUGUAAAUAAUAACAAUACAUACCAAAAUGGUGUAACCACAACAACAACAACAACAAAAAAAAAAACAAAAAGUGACUACAAAAACUACGAAUUAUUAAAAAAAGAUACAAAAGAUAUGUCAAAAAUAACAAAUUCAAAUAAUAUCAAAAAUGAGAAUACAGAAAAAAUAUUUGACGAGCAAACUGCUUUUUAUGAAAUACCUUUAACUGUGGAAAAUAUAUUUUCAAAGGGAAAAUAUGACAAAAUAAUUAAAUAUGUAUAUACACUCUCAAAAAGUGCAGAUCAGAUAUUAUUAGAAUAUAAUAAUGAUUCAGAUAAAAAAAAAGGAGGAAUAAAAAAAAAAAAAAAAAAAAAAAAUAUAUCAUCGUCUUAUGAUAUUGUUAUUGUGUACGAAGGUCUGGAUGAACAUAUGGCUCAAAGAUGCAAUUUAUUAAAUACAACAUUUUUAGAUAAAAAGAAUUAUGAACCAGUGGAAGAAGAAAGAAAUAGUGAAUGUUUGUUGUUUGAUAGUAAAAAGGAACAAAAAGAGGAAAUGAAUGUGGAUGUGGAUGUGGGCGUGGAUGUGGAUGUGGAUGUGGAUGUGGAUGUGGGCGUGGAUGUGGAUGUGGGCAUGGAUGUGGAUGGGGAUGUGGAUGUGGAUGUGAAUACAUUGUUGGAGUGUAUCUCGGAUCAUUCAGAUAUUAUAUGUAUUCCUAACCAUGAGAAAGAAGAUGGUGAAAAAGAUUAUGCAAUUAAAGAUUCGUUUACAGAUGUUGCCAAGACAAAUGUUAAGACAAGUAUAGCUAUAGAUACCUGUACAAGUGAUGGUGUAAACAAAAUCCCGAUGAAACAAUACAAUGAGCCAAGAUGCGAGAGUACAACUGUUGAUAAGACCAGCAACAAUAUUAAAAAUAAAUCAUCAUUCGAAUUGUCAAGUUGUUCAUACGAUUACUCGUCAAGUAACUCAAGUAGCGACUUUAGUAUGAUGGAACACUCAUCGUGCGACUACAAUGAUAACAGUUAUAAAUAUGAUUCCAUUUAUGCUACUAAUAGUUAUGGAAAUAAUAAUAACAAUAAUAAGAGUAGUAAUUUCAAGUGCUCUAAAUGUGAACAUUCAGCUGAUCUGUUUGUAUACGACAGUACUAUUAUUAACUUUCAGUCUGUAUACAAUUUUUUAAAACAUGAACAUUAUAUUUUAUAUGCAAAUGAUUAUGAUGUUAUUAUAAAAAAUAAUAAAAAAAAGGAACAGGAAACAAACUAUUAUUUAAAAAAAAGAGUACUGGAGAAAAAUUGCAAAGGGAGAAUUGAUGGACUUGUAAAUGGUAUAGAACAGUAUGACACUAGUAACUGUAGUAGCAUUGAAAAAAAUAAAAAUAGAAAGAGAACAGGAAUGAAAAAAAAUACAGAACUUGUUACUCUACAUAUUAAAGAUUUUAAAAAAAAAGAAUGUAGUAGUUGUUAUUUGAGUUAUAGUAAUGGUAAUAGUAAUGGUAAUAGUAAUGGUAAUAGUAAUAAUUAUUUUACUUCAAACUGUAACAAUAACGAAUUUCAUGAUGGUUGCACAACUUGGCUCUCUAUUUUUAAACCACAAAUAAAUUAUUUAAGCAAAAAAAACAUAUUUGAUAAAACAUAUCAUGAAACAAAAAUGUAUCAGAAUAAAAAAGAUAAAGAAAUACUUUGUAACAUAAAUAAGCAUAAUCUAUUGUGUAAAUAUAAACUAGAAUACAUGGGUUGGAGUUGUGAUUUUGCUAUAAAAAAAAAUAUUCCCAAAUUUGAUCCUUUGGUUGAAUUAUUUCAUAAAUAUGCAUCUACUUUUGUUUAUACUCAACCGGCUUAUAAUUAUGCUUCAUUUUUUCCAUUUUUUGGAAAAUUUAUAUUAAGGCAUUAUUUUAGUCAAUUUUGUGAAAAGUAUUCAUUAUUUCAGUUAUUUAUAUUAUCUUUUUUUUACUACCACCAAUACGACUAUUAACAUUGUUAUAACUUUCGUAUGUAUAAUUAGUUUUAUUCGGAAGAUGCAAAAAAGAUAAUAUAAAUAACUGAAAU
Long non-coding RNA from Piliocolobus tephrosceles (Ugandan red Colobus), 2089 nucleotides. The record is from Ensembl. Lineage: Eukaryota; Metazoa; Chordata; Mammalia; Primates; Cercopithecidae.